GAUGGGGAAGGUUCCACGGAACCGAAGUAUCUGAUUUCAUGCUUCCAAGAAAAGCAUCUAGAAAGAGAAGUAGUGCCCGUACCGCAAACCGACACAGGUAGAUGAGGAGAGAAUCCUAAGGCCGACGGAAGAAUCACAGUUAAGGAACUAGGCAAAUUGACCCCGUAACUUCGGGAGAAGGGGUGCCUACCAUUUGGUAGGCCGCAGAGAAUAGGCACAAGCAACUGUUUAACAAAAACACAGGUCUCUGCUAAAGCGUAAGCUGAUGUAUAGGGGCUGACGCCUGCCCGGUGCUGGAAGGUUAAGGGGAACACUUAGCGCAAGCGAAGGUGUGAACUUAAGCCCCAGUAAACGGCGGCCGUAACUAUAACGGUCCUAAGGUAGCGAAAUUCCUUGUCAGGUAAGUUCUGACCCGCACGAAUGGCGUAAUGACUUGUGCACUGUCUCAACUGUGAAUCCGGCGAAGUUGUAGUGCGAGUGAAGAUGCUCGCUACCCGCGAUUGGACGGAAAGACCCCGUAGAGCUUUACUGUAGCUUAGCAUUGAAUUUCGGUAUUGUCUGUACAGGAUAGGUGGGAGACUGGGAAAUUAGGGCGUCAGCCUUAAUGGAGUCGUUGUUGGGAUACCACCCUGAUAGUAUUGAAGUUCUAACUGGAUGCCAUGAAACUGGUGACAGGACAUUGUUAGGUGGGCAGUUUGACUGGGGCGGUCGCCUCCUAAAAUGUAACGGAGGCGCCCAAAGGUUCCCUCAGAACGGUCGGAAAUCGUUCGUAGAGUGUAAAGGCAUAAGGGAGCCUGACUGCGAGACCUACAAGUCGAGCAGGGACGAAAGUCGGGCUUAGUGAUCCGGUGGUACCUCGUGGGAGGGCCAUCGCUCAACGGAUAAAAGCUACCUCGGGGAUAACAGGCUGAUCUCCCCCAAGAGUUCACAUCGACGGGGAGGUUUGGCACCUCGAUGUCGGCUCGUCGCAUCCUGGGGCUGAAGUAGGUCCCAAGGGUUGGGCUGUUCGCCCAUUAAAGCGGCACGCGAGCUGGGUUCAGAACGUCGUGAGACAGUUCGGUCCCUAUCCGUCGCGGGCGUAGGAAAUUUGAGAGGAGCUGUCCUUAGUACGAGAGGACCGGGAUGGACUGACCUAUGGUGUACCAGUUGUUUCGCCAGAAGCAUAGCUGGGUAGCUAAGUCGGGAAGGGAUAAACGCUGAAAGCAUCUAAGUGUGAAGCCCACCUCAAGAUGAGAUUUCCCAUAGCAUAAGCUAGUAAGACCCCUUGAAGACUACAAGGUUGAUAGGUCAGAGGUGUAAGUGCGGUAACGUAUUUAGCUGACUGAUACUAAUAGGUCGAGGGCUUGACCAA
RNAcentral lists this ribosomal RNA (1351 nucleotides) under Clostridium butyricum. RNAcentral describes it as "bacterial LSU rRNA". It matches the Rfam family "Bacterial large subunit ribosomal RNA", at positions 1564 to 2925 of the family's 2925-position model. Lineage: Bacteria; Bacillati; Bacillota; Clostridia; Eubacteriales; Clostridiaceae. The record is from RNAcentral.